ACGCUCGACACCUACGGGAGGGCAGCAGUUGGGAAUAUUGGACAAUGGAGGAAACUCUGAUCCAGUGACGCCGCGUGAAGGAAGAAGGUCUUCGGAUUGUAAACUUAUUUUGUCAGGGAAGAAAAAUGACUGUACCUGAAGAAAAAGCACCGGCUAACUACGUGCCAGUAGCCGCGGUAAUCUGAGCGGGCUGGCAAGGC
RNAcentral lists this ribosomal RNA (200 nucleotides) under uncultured bacterium. Its description in RNAcentral is "partial 16S ribosomal RNA". It matches the Rfam family "Bacterial small subunit ribosomal RNA", at positions 328 to 539 of the family's 1533-position model. The record is from RNAcentral.